This 1008-nucleotide long non-coding RNA is filed under the name Homo sapiens (human). Its description in RNAcentral is "HSALNT0359175". Lineage: Eukaryota; Metazoa; Chordata; Mammalia; Primates; Hominidae. The record is from RNAcentral.
UCAGCUCCUGAUUCUGCAGAAAACACGAAACUGAGCUGUACAAAGAUGCUGAUGAGGGGCUGCAGCAUGCAAUUCACUUCACCAGCAGUCACUAAGGUCUGAUCUCUUUUCUAACCAUACCUGGAAGAUGGAAUGCUGGACCCAGGGUAUGCAUAGAAAAUGGGAGUUAUUAGAAAAGCAGCUUUGCUUGCUUUAACCCAGGAAUUGUAUUUCUGACUAGACUUGGACUAGAACUUUCACCAUUGGCUUACCUGGUUCUCAGACUUUUAGACUUGGACUGGGACUACACCAUCAACUUUCCUUGGUCUCCAGCUUGCAGACAACAGAUUAUGGGACUUGCCAGUCUCCAUAAUCAGAAGGCUUUGACAUAUCAAUGCACCAGGGAUCUUACCAAACUAAAUUUUAAGCACUUAUAGCUCAAGAUUCUCCCUCUGAGAUGAAACAUACUUCCACCCUGUCAUGUGUCAGCUUCAGAAGAUAUCAAUUGCUCAAGAAAGUGUUGGACAAGCAGAAAAGCACACUGAACAUUUCUGGACUUGUGAAAGAGCUCUGAAUAUGGAUCUCUCAGGGAUAUUCCAUCCCCACCAAUGCUUUACCAAUGCGAGAGCUGGCCAGGCUGAGACAUUUAAUGAUAACAUGGAACAAUUUAUUCAGGAAGAUAGUCAACUACUCAUGUGGCUUUAUGAUUAUAAAACCCACUGAAAAUUGGGUCCCUUGAUUCUCUUGAUUUUUCCUAAGCCUUACUCCCUAAAGUCUCCAAUUUGAUGAGGUAUUUGAUACUUGAUCUCUCCUUGAAGUAAAAUUUGGAGCAAAAUAUAUUGGACUGGAAGGCCUGAGACCUCGAUAAGAAGAAACAUGAACCCCAGAGCCACAGGUGCAUGACUGUUGCUCUUUGACCUGUGUGGUGAGGGGUUACAUGUUAACCAGACUCCCUAGUCUCACUGCAAUUUCUGCCUCUCGGGUUCAAGUGAUUCUCCUGCCUCAGCCUCCUGAGUAGCUGGGAUUACA